Molecule: ribosomal RNA, 274 nt
Filed under: uncultured bacterium
Lineage: Bacteria
Description: partial 16S ribosomal RNA
Rfam family: Bacterial small subunit ribosomal RNA
Source: RNAcentral
AUACGGAGGGGGCUAGCGUUGUUCGGAAUUACUGGGCGUAAAGCGCACGUAGGCGGCACACACAGUCAGAGGUGAAAGGCCUGGGCUCAACCCAGGAACUGCCUUUGAUACUGGUGAGCUAGAGUCCGGGAGAGGGUAGCGGAAUUCCCAGUGUAGAGGUGAAAUUCGUAGAUAUUGGGAAGAACACCGGUUGCGAAGGCGGCUACCUGGACCGGUACUGACGCUGAGGUGCGAAAGCGUGGGGAGCAAACAGGAUUAGAAACCCCAGUAGUCC